AUUGAACGCUGGCGGAAUGCUUUACACAUGCAAGUCGAACGGCAGCACGGGGGCAACCCUGGUGGCGAGUGGCGAACGGGUGAGUAAUACAUCGGAACGUGCCCAGCCGUGGGGGAUAACGUAGCGAAAGCUACGCUAAUACCGCAUACGAUCUACGGAUGAAAGCGGGGGAUCGCAAGACCUCGCGCGAUUGGAGCGGCCGAUAUCAGAUUAGGUUGUUGGUGUGGUAAAAGCUCACCAAGCCUGCGAUCUGUAGCUGGUCUGAGAGGACGACUAGCCACACUGGAACUGAGACACGGUCCAGACUCCUACGGGAGGCAGCAGUGGGGAAUUUUGGACAAUGGACGCAAGUCUGAUCCAGCAAUGCCGCGUGCAGGACGAAGGCCUUCGGGUUGUAAACUGCUUUUGUACGGAACGAAACGGUGAGCUCUAAUACAGUUUGCUAAUGACGGUACCGUAAGAAUAAGCACCGGCUAACUACGUGCCAGCCGCCGCCGUAA
This 500-nucleotide ribosomal RNA is filed under the name uncultured bacterium. RNAcentral's name for it is "partial 16S ribosomal RNA". It matches the Rfam family "Bacterial small subunit ribosomal RNA", at positions 30 to 523 of the family's 1533-position model. The record is from RNAcentral.